RNAcentral lists this ribosomal RNA (442 nucleotides) under uncultured bacterium. RNAcentral's name for it is "partial 16S ribosomal RNA". It matches the Rfam family "Bacterial small subunit ribosomal RNA", at positions 338 to 795 of the family's 1533-position model. The record is from RNAcentral.
CCUACGGGAGGCUGCAGUGGGGAAUAUUGGGCAAUGGACGCAAGCCUGACCCAGCAACGCCGCGUGAAGGAAGAAGGCUUUCGGGUUGUAAACUUCUUUUAAGGGGGAAGAGCAGAAGACGGUACCCCUUGAAUAAGCCACGGCUAACUACGAGCCAGCAGCCGCGGUAAUACGGAGGUGGCAAGCGUUGUCCGGAUUUACUGGGUGUAAAGGGCGUGCAGGCGGAGAGACAAGUCAGAUGUGAAAUCCACGGGCUCAACCAGUGAACUGCAUUUGAAACUGUUUCCCUUGAGUGUCGGAGAGGUAGGCGGAAUUCCUGGUGUAGCGGUGAAAUGCGUAGAUAUUAGGAAGAACACCAGUGGCGAAGGCGGAUUACUGGGCGAUGACUGACGGUGAGGCGCGAAAGCGUGGGGAGCAAACAGGAUUAGAUACCCGUGUAGUC